Molecule: ribosomal RNA, 625 nt
Filed under: uncultured bacterium
Lineage: Bacteria
Description: bacterial SSU rRNA
Rfam family: Bacterial small subunit ribosomal RNA
Source: RNAcentral
UAACAGAUCCAGCUUGCUGGAUGCUGACGAGCGGCGGACGGGUGAGUAAUGCAUAGGAAUCUGCCCGAUAGUGGGGGAUAACCUGGGGAAACCCAGGCUAAUACCGCAUACGUCCUACGGGAGAAAGGGGGCUCCGGCUCCCGCUAUGGGAUGAGCCUAUGUCGGAUUAGCUAGUUGGUGAGGUAACGGCUCACCAAGGCCGCGAUCCGUAGCUGGUCUGAGAGGAUGAUCAGCCACAUCGGGACUGAGACACGGCCCGAACUCCUACGGGAGGCAGCAGUGGGGAAUAUUGGACAAUGGGGGCAACCCUGAUCCAGCCAUGCCGCGUGUGUGAAGAAGGCCCUCGGGUUGUAAAGCACUUUCAGCGAGGAAGAACGCCUAGCGGUUAAUACCCGCUAGGAAAGACAUCACUCGCAGAAGAAGCACCGGCUAACUCCGUGCCAGCAGCCGCGGUAAUACGGAGGGUGCAAGCGUUAAUCGGAAUUACUGGGCGUAAAGCGCGCGUAGGUGGCUUGAUAAGCCGGUUGUGAAAGCCCCGGGCUCAACCUGGGAACGGCAUCCGGAACUGUCAAGCUAGAGUGCAGGAGAGGAAGGUAGAAUUCCCGGUGUAGCAGUGAAAUGCGUA